GGGCUACCUGCUGACGGGGAGCUGCCCUCGCUCCUCGCCCUCCCUGCGACCCCCACGCCGACCUCCAGCCGUUCCCUUGUGGUUCUGUAACGACGGGUUUUAGGAGCGUUUGGUGCUGUGACCCUGCAGAUGCUUUUACCGUCUUCAUUUCUUGGUCAAUGGCCCAGUCUUACUAGAGUGCGCUCUGCCGGUACGCCGCUUCAAAUCCUUUCCAGAAACUGAGUCUUAUUCCCCAAUAAACCUUUUGCACUCCCAACUCUAUGUCUACAUCUGCUUCCCAAAGGACCCAACUGACACAUGCUGCCACAAGGAGGCAAACCACAAGAGAGGUUGGGAGUGAAUCGAGGAUGUUGCCUAAGAUGGAACACACAGCCCAUGCCUUACUCUGCAACAGAGAAAGCAUAGAGAAAAGAGAGAGGAAGAUGAUGUUUGUAAUCCUGUCACUCCUCCAGCUAAGUGUUGUGGCCCUCCGCCCUGAAGAGACCCUCCCUGAGGAGGCUGAAAUGAAGGAAUAAAGUUGAAAGAGGUCCUGUUAUAGAUGACGUAUUAUCACUCUGAAGACUUGCCUAUUGGAAACAAGCUCUGGUGGUUGUAUUUUCUUUCUAUAUUACAAUCUGGUAAAGUGGUUGUUUAACAAUCUAUACCAGAUGAAUACAAUGAAACAAACAAAUUUAUUAAAAUAUACUAUAUUCAGAGAGCUAUGCUUCUUUCCAACACAUGGCCAGCCUAUGACUGAAGCUCUGGGCUCUUAAAAUCAUUAAAUUGAGUUGGGAAAAUUU
This 779-nucleotide long non-coding RNA is filed under the name Equus asinus (donkey). Its description in RNAcentral is "lncRNA (ENSEASG00005024551.1)". Lineage: Eukaryota; Metazoa; Chordata; Mammalia; Perissodactyla; Equidae. The record is from RNAcentral.